Siniperca chuatsi (mandarin fish) is the source of this 1962-nucleotide long non-coding RNA. RefSeq lists it as uncharacterized. The transcript has 3 exons. NCBI's taxonomy places the organism in Eukaryota, Metazoa, Chordata, Actinopteri, Centrarchiformes, Sinipercidae. The record is from RefSeq and is a predicted model, not a curated record.
CAGCCUCUGAGUAGAUCCGUAUCACUUCAAAAACAAAUUGGAUUUCGUGCCUAAACUCUCUCAAACCCACAAGAGAUGGAUAUACUCAAACUGGUUAAAUAUGCAUCAUAUCAGGACAGUUUCUAAUACUGCAAAAGAGAUGUAGGGACUCAUUUUUUGCUAUUUAACCUUCAGUUGACCUCUGCCUAAUGAACAUAGAAAAACAAAGAGGAGUUGAGUUGUUGCAGCCUUAUUUUAUUGAUCUAGCUCUUAGGGACUUGCUAGGCUGACUUUAAGAAUUAAAUUGUCACUUUUAAGUAGUAGGUAGUUAUGGAUGGUGAUCAUGGCAGUGAAGUCCUUCCAAGGAGGCAGAUUUCUCCUCUAUCUUCAAAGUGAUUUGGCAGCAGAUAAGUGUUUUUCACUAAGUCAAAACUAAAUGAUGUGAUCCACUUUUUGGAUAUUUUUUAGUAUGGGCCUGGGGGUGUCUAUCUGUUACAUGAAUAUUUUGACAUUUUGGGAAUAUUCGCUUUCUUGCCCAGAGUUUGAUGAGAAGAUCCAUAUCACUCUCAUGUCUGUACAGUGUCACGACUCCAGAAAUGCAGGACUGGACCCAAACGCAGACAAAGCAGUCAGUAGAGUGGUAGAGUUCAAUGAUUUAUUGUUGAAGCAAGGGUAUACAUAGGCUUACAGGCAGGUGCUGGUAGGCAGGCACGCAGACAGGUACAGGUAGGCAGGGGCAGAGUCGGGUGGCUCAAAAGCCAAAGUACAAAGCAUAUGGUAACUUUGAUGAUCUGGCAGAAUACUAUUGGAAAUGAACCGGUAUAUGUACUACUGGGCUGAUUGAGGGAAAUGGGAAGCAGGUGAGCAAGUGGGCGGGGAAGGUCAGGUGACUGGGACUGGAGGGAAAGGGGUGAUUGCAGAGCAGGAGGGAGAGUCAGUGAGAUGACUGGGACAAAUGGAAAAGUCAGAGGGCCUCUGGUGAGCAGAUGAUGAGCAGCUGAAAAUGUGGUUAUUUCCAUUCCACAAGAAUCUACUAACUCUAACCUGGGAGAUAAAAAAAUACAGCUGCUAACCUUCACACAGAUGAGGCCGCUUCUGUACAUUAUUAAACCAGCGUCGCCUGACAUCAUGCUGCUCUGGCUGAGUGCGUCUCUGUUGCCAGGGAGAAGAAGCAGACCUUGGAGGGUGCAUGCGUACUGCUGUUGACUGGAAGUGACACAUCAAACUACUCAGUGUGCUAUCAGUGCACCAGAACAUGGACUCCCUCAAGGCUAUAGUCAGUCAUCUGAACCAUUAUAUUACUCAAAGUCUUCACAUGAUGAUACUACUUUAUUCUGGAUAUCUUUUACCCGAAAAUAUGAGUUAACCCUUUAAUGCAUGAAUUAUGACAACCUCAGUCAGGAUUUUUUUCCUAAGUGUUUUAUUACUUGUUUUAUUAAAACUUCAUUUUGUUUAAACAUGCAUUUUUCAAGUAGUUUGGCUGGCCAGUGGGUGGCAGUGUAUGGGAACUGCAAGGUCUGGUGAUAAUUCUCUGUGGGUUUGUCGCUACAAGUGACUCCUUUCACAUACGUAUAGCCAUUUAACUCAUUGUUAAUACAAAAAUAUUAAUUAUAGCUGCUUUAAAUAACUGUACCAUUACAUGAGAUACAUUAUUCACACUGGUGCCAUUCUACACUUCGACUUCCUUUUAAAUGAGACUUUUCUGUUCAUAAAAACAUUUUAGCCUCCUAAUGAUACUGAAUAAUCCUAUUUCUAGAUAUGUUCAUCUAUGAUAUCGAAUAUCUCCAGUCUUGCUAUUGUUCUCUGUGGUGAGAAGAUACUUGGCAAUUCAUCCCAGUUAAAUUCACAAACUCAAGAAACCAUUUUGUUUGUUGAAUCCCCUUUCCUUACAUGUCUUCUUACAAAACACAACUUGUCCUGUGCUGCUUGCUUGUUAUAAAUUCUGUUUCUACACUCACUGCAUUAUUAUACAAUAUUAAAGUU